RNAcentral lists this ribosomal RNA (301 nucleotides) under uncultured bacterium. RNAcentral describes it as "partial 16S ribosomal RNA". It matches the Rfam family "Bacterial small subunit ribosomal RNA", at positions 509 to 809 of the family's 1533-position model. The record is from RNAcentral.
CAGCAGCCGCGGUAAUACGGAGGGGGCUAGCGUUGUUCGGAAUUACUGGGCGUAAAGCGCACGUAGGCGGCUUGGUAAGUUAGAGGUGAAAGCCCGGAGCUCAACUCCGGAAUUGCCUUUAAGACUGCCGAGCUAGCAGGUGAGAGAGGUAAGUGGAAUUCCGAGUGUAGAGGUGAAAUUCGUAGAUAUUCGGAAGAACACCAGUGGCGAAGGCGACUGACUGGACAAGUAUUGACGCUGAGGUGCGAAAGCGUGGGGAGCAAACAGGAUUAGAUACCCCUGUAGUCCCUGUCUCUUAUAA